This is a long non-coding RNA of Numida meleagris (helmeted guineafowl), 3267 nucleotides long. RefSeq lists it as uncharacterized. Lineage: Eukaryota; Metazoa; Chordata; Aves; Galliformes; Numididae. The record is from RefSeq and is a predicted model, not a curated record. The transcript is spliced from 4 exons.
AUAAGAGUUUGCUUUGAAGAUGCCUGAUGAGUAAAAGGAUGCUGAGUGUGGUCAAUGUUCCUCUCACCUUCUCUGCCACCAGCUCAGACUUGACUUCUGGCACUGCUGUAAGCAGUUGUAGCAAGACAGGUGAUCUCCUUGUACAAAUUCACAUACAAAUCCAGAAAAACAAACAGUGGAUAUGAAGAGGCAUUCAGCAGAAUUGGUGGUUGCUUAUAGUGCAGCUUGACUAAUUAGGCCAGCAUUUCCUGUGGUUAGUGUGCAAUUUAUUCGAAGAGUAAGAAAAAUGAAGAUGGGUUACCUGAGCAAUCGUUGAGAAGAUAAUGGAAAUAGGGAAGGAUCUCAGAAAAGUGGGAAACUCAGUUGUCACUCUGAGUAUGGAGAACAAAAUGUGAAGUCCAGGCUGAAAAAUGGGCAGAGCGUCCAAGAUAGGUGCCUUUAGAACAGGUAGUUUGUUACUUCGCCAGAUUUUUAGCUGGUAGUUCUCUAAUGCGGGUACAGCUUUAUUUCCUGACUGCUGAUGAUUCUGGAUGUUCAGUGUCACAUUGGCCAGUAUGUUCAAUUUGUCACAUGAGUGUAUGUCUUCUCUUUGCUUAAAUCGUGUAUUAUGCCAGCUGAUGGUAAAAGUGAGGUAAAUUGAAUACGGUGUUGUGUAGUUACUCAUUUCUACAGCCAAAAUAUUUAUGAGCAACUGUCUGCUUUCAUUUAAGCUAUGAUUAUACUUAAGAGGUUAGAAAAAAUUUGAGGGAAGUGCAAUUUCUGGUAUGUUUAUCCUGAACUUAGAACUUGAAUGAAAGUAUAAGUUAUGGUAGUUUUGUUCAUGCUGAGUGGUAUCUUACUCUAAACUGCAAGAUGCUACCUAAUGCAAGCAAUAGCUUCAUAUUCUGAUCCACUACUGAUAGACAUAAUUUUGUUUUAAGUUUGAAGGUUACAUGAAGAAAAACUACGUACUGAUCCUACAACUACUGAAAUAGUUAAUUACCUUGAAAUUGGCAAUAUGUUCAUUCUUUAUUCUGUGUAGUGUGCAUAUAUAUAUAUACUAAUCAUCAAUUAUUGUUAGCUUACGUUUUGUUAAUUUUGUAUACUCUUUAUUUUAUAUACCAUUUUUAUUGACUGCUCAAGAUAAACAGCCAAGACAUUUUGCAUACUUCCCUCCAAAGAUUUUUUUUUUAAAUUUAUCAUUUUUUACUUUAUAACCGGUCAGCCUGGUAUCAUAUGCAAAGCAAGCUGUAACUCUGAUAAGCUACGUCAAAGACUCACUGUGCUAGAUCCUAUCUUUGUGACAUUAUUGGAACUAAUGCACUCCAGAAAUAAUUGUGAAGAGUUAAAAAUGCUAUCCAAGAAGACACUGUGCCAUGCAGCUAUCUAAAGAAACUUAUCUUCAUUAAUACGAAGAGUAAAAGCAUUUAUUAAAUUUGAGGAAAACUGGAAGCUAGCAAUCUCUUUUUAUUUAAUAAAAUUAUGUAUAGGAUAUAUAUUGAUAACAAAGCUUUGACAAGCUCCUCAGAUGUUUUAAACAGAAUCAUUAUACGCAUAUCUGACUCUGUUAGUGUUAAGAGGCUAAGCUGAUUUAUUAGUACAGUAUUGCCUUAUGCUUGGAUUAUUCUUUGAACAUGUUUCCGGAGGGUUUAGUUUCACAGUCUCUUGGGCAUUGUAUUUUGUUGACUAGCCAUCAUCUUAACUUGGCCAAGAGCUAUCAGAUGAGCUUUCUGCCCAAGCUCCAUAAACUACAUCUGUUCUCAGUAGUUGACAAUGCAGUAAUCCUCCUCUAAAACUCCUUCUUGGGGCAGGUUAUAUCCUCACUUGCCCUGCAAAUUCAUCCUUUAAUUAGUUAGCUCUGCAGAUCAGUCACUUGCCUUGUAUUAUUUCAGCAAAACUUCCAAUACUGAAGAAUAUAAGAUGUAAUUAGAGAGAAAGAAGGAAUAUCACCAAUGACAAAAAGGCAAGACUGUGGAAAUCAGGAAGCAUUUAGCAGCGCUGAGAAGAAGAUCCAUCUCAGAUAGCAUAACCCGUAGCUAUUGCCUUGUUUUUCCCCAUGAAAGUCAAGGCAUUUGAAUUUCAACUGGUUGUAUUUUCUGUAUAAUGUUUGUACUGUCCUAGAGCUCGCUUUGUUAAUGAGGACAUUAGAUGAAACUGCAGAGAUGCAGUCACAUUUUCUUUUUUUCUACUACCAUAUAAUUCAGAAUAAAGAAGAGGAUGUUGUCAUAGGUAACCAUACCUUCAUUGUUGUCAUCUUGUCAGUAAAUCAAAUUUCAUCAAAUAAAAAUCAGAUGAGGAAAAGGAAACUAACUACUAGCAAGAGAAAAGGGAGUGGAUAUGUUGGGCUUAUGUAUUCAGCCUAACGGAGUUACUUCCUUUUAAGAGUGUGUGAAAGAAUCUAAAUUAACAUUGUGAAAUGGCACCAGGGAAUUUUGACUGCCUUCCCAUAAAGCCACUAGUAUGAGUGCUCUGGGGAUGAGAUUAACUUGUUUUACUAAAGUAACUUCACCAUUCUCACAUUUCUAAUCACUUUAUGUAACUUUGUCUUUUAUCUAGGGUGUUUGCAUUGUCUCUCUAUUUUUAUUAAUGAUUACUCUGAGUGUGUGAUGACUGAAAAGCGACCUGACACAGUGGCUGCGUAAAUUUGGAAAACACUUUUUGAAAUCUGUAGUAUACUCCAUGUACUAUUGGGUGUACAAAUGAAUUUUGUGUAUCAUAACACUCCUGGAAAAACAAGAGGACAAAGAAGAUGGGAUUGCUAAGGGAGACAUUAGAUUUCAUUUCACACUGAUAAUAGUUUAGAGAUAGUGCUGAGCAAAAUGGGAUUCAGUUCUGCAGCACUCCUUUAUUCCAGCUAAGUGAUUUCAAUAUCCAGUCUAAAGUGAUACUGAGAGUGUUCGAUAGAAGGGGGAUGAAAUCUGAGAGCCCUAAAGGCUCGGAGGAGGCCACAAAUCUCAGGCUGACUCAACGGAUCCUUUCAGAACCAUCCCACCUGACCUUAAACCAUCUUAUUUAACCUGGAGGCUGCUGGUAAGUACCUUGCAAUGUAACAUAUUGUUUCAUGUUAAAAGGAACCAUGCAACUAGAUUGCAUUUUGGACAUCAAUUGAUACUACUGUAGUUACGGUUUUGGCCAUGAACUUGAUGCUUUCAGAAACAUUUACGGCUAUGAGUUUAUUGCCCAGCUGUUGUUGUCUGGUAGACAUACCAUAUCUGGGAAAUGGUUUAAACCCUCUAGCCUUUUGAUUUAUGACUGUUGAAAGUAGAUGAAGUUUGCUAUACAAACAUG